This 1951-nucleotide small RNA is filed under the name Oryza sativa Japonica Group (Japanese rice). RNAcentral describes it as "sRNA Os10g0560600". The record is from RNAcentral. Lineage: Eukaryota; Viridiplantae; Streptophyta; Magnoliopsida; Poales; Poaceae.
CGAUAAGAUCAAAAAUCGAAAGAAAAGCGAAAUUAAAUAUGGCACACGAGGGUGACAGCCGUGCACUGUCCAGGCGCGUACACGUCGCUCGCGUACGUACUUUGUGUGCAGUAGCAGUUGGUACUCCUGCACAGUGUACGCGCGCGCGACAUCUGUACACUACGUACACGUUUACGUAUACGUGUAUAUGCUUGUCGUCCACGUAGGCAACCUCCGCUACUCGGUCUCUAAGAGCUUACAAUAGCAGUCUAUAAACCAGCUAUAAACAUAUUUUAAAGAGAUAAAAAGAAGAGAGAAAAGCAGCGGGCUAUAAAUCUGUAGCCAGCUGUAACACGGACUCCAAGACGUAAUAUGUGUAUGACAUGUGAGAUCAGGCAUUAAUAGUAUUGUAAGCAACUAUUGUAUGAAUUGGCUAUUAUAUUGGCUAUAGAUGAUUUGAAGCUAACAGUUGGCUAUACUAUUAAACUUGCUCUAACGCAGAGCUGAUCACCGAUCAGAGUGUAGUACAGCGAAAUAAGCGUCGCCAGACUUUACCCUAAAUUCAGGACUAUAUGUUUCUGUUUUCUCGCGCACGCUUAACAAACUGCUAAACAAUAAUUUUUAAAAAAAUUAUAAGAAAGUUGUUUUAGGAAAAUGUAUUAAUCCAUUUUUCAAUUUUUUUAUAACUAAUAGUUAAGUAUGCAUUAAUCUCUGUUUUAUGUGUGAAGGGAGCGGUUCCCCAACUGCUCCAGAAGAAGAACAUAGCUUAAUUAAAUUUCCUACGGUGAAAUCAGUCUAUACAGAUUUAAGUUCUAAAAUUGAUACAAAUAUUAAUAUUUACUACUAAUUGUUUUUUCAGUAUUAGACAACGAGAUGUCUAUGGAGACAUCAUAGUAGUAUCCAGCAGCCUAUGUGGCGUUGCAUUGGGAAGCCUAGCGCGGUGAGUCACCCUCCACCGUGGCAUGGCCCCACCUGUCAGUUUGUAACUGCCAACCAAGUCACUGAAAAAUUAGAUGGACGAUUUUGUCUCCGUAAAACAGAGUGAAAUUAGGAGGACCACUGGAUCCGCUAUGCCAGGGAUGUACUCAUGAUCUGGGCCAUCCACGUGUCUGAUUAAAUACUUGACCCUGACAUGACAUACACGCAUACUUAAUGCAUUAGCUUAAUUAGCUAGCAACAAUUGGUUUGGGAUCAUGGCAAUGCAAAGCUUCUACUACUAGCUAGCUAGGCAUGAUCAUGCAAGAGGCAGCCUGAUGACUCUGAUGUAUGUUAACAACUGCAAGCAAGAGGGGUUAUUUCACUAGUCUUGUCUUCACAUGUUAACUGCAUGAGUAGCUGCUUAGUUUGGAGAGGCAGUGUCCUAAUCCAGCAAAGGGCAGGGCAGGGUCAGACCAGAAAUGCUGCCUCAUGGUAAGUGGGAACAUUAGCUUUCUCACUGGAAUAUGAUGCCAUUGCUUGAAACAACUGUGCUCACUGUAGUGUAACAAAAUCUUGUUCCUGCUAUCUUUGAUAAUGGUACCCGUGUUUAUCGGAAAAAUGCUUACUGUACCAGCCUAAUGAAGACGAAGUUGAAGAAGAAGAUGAUGAACAAGAAGAGGAAAAGAUCUUUCCAAAGCAGCCAGCAAAAAAAGGAUUUAUAAAAAAGAAAAGAAAAGAAAAGAAAGGUAGCCAAAGGAGAAAGCAGGGGAGAAGAGAAGAAGAUGAGAUGAGCUGAGAUGCUGCAGCCACAUGAGGAAUGCUACCUUUUGUCUCCACUUGAUCAUGGAGGAGACCAAGACCAGCCAACCAAAUCACCAAUUAGUUAACUGCAUUUGCUACUAAUUGCUAGUGCUAAACAAAGGUUUGGUUAAACGGUAGCCACCAGUAAACAAAUCAGUAUGCAAAAGAGGAAUGGGGUUUUAAUAUUACCAAAGUCAGCAGGAGCGAGCCAGUAACAUCCUAGCUGGACCAGCUUCCUGGGAAUUUUUAUUUC